This 471-nucleotide ribosomal RNA is filed under the name Daphnia pulicaria. RNAcentral describes it as "eukaryotic LSU rRNA". The stretch from base 1 to 223 matches the Rfam family "Eukaryotic large subunit ribosomal RNA", at positions 2961 to 3401 of the family's 3401-position model. The record is from RNAcentral. Lineage: Eukaryota; Metazoa; Arthropoda; Branchiopoda; Diplostraca; Daphniidae.
GUUUAGACCGUCGUGAGACAGGUUAGUUUUACCCUACUGACGACCAUAGAAGAAAUGUUAUUGCGAUAGUAAUCCUGCGAAGUACGAGAGGAACCGCAGGUUCGGACAGUUGGUUGGCGCACUUGGUCGAGCGGCCAGUGGUGCGAGGCUACGUCCGGAUGAUUAUACCUGAAGGCCUCUGAAGGUAGAAUCGAUGCUGGAGGAAGGCAAUGAUACGCAGCGUCUUUUGACUCGUUUCCGACGUUUUAUCUGGGUGGCUAUAACGAGACCCGUCUCGGUUAGAGAUUAAAACUCGCUCCAUCAGCGAGGGGGUUCCGGCCUUUUCGUUUCGUUUCGGACGAAUGCCUGGUCGGCGCUUCAUUCUCGAGCCGCGGUUUUCAGAGGGGAGGUUCGCUGACGGCUAUGCUGGGUAUCCGCCACGGGAAUGCCAGUCAUGCUCCGGUUCGCCUCUUUCUUUUUACCCGACUAAAG